AACAGGAAGUUUCGGCAGGCGCACACCAUUCUUUACAAUAAAGAAAACGCCUGAACUGUGCUGUCCUUUUCUCUUUAUUACUACAGAUUAAGUCUGAGGCCGGUAACAUCAACAGUGAGGCCAAACCCAGCCUGCCUCUCUCCUUCCACACUGAGUCCAAACCUACAGUCACUGGGUCCUGAUUGUGACAGUGGAGCCCAGUUUGCACUGCAGGAUCCAGAGAUGGCAUCAGUGAAGCUGGAAGACUGCAGUCAAACACUGGAGCUGAAUGUCAACAUUAAAGAUGAAGAAGAGGAGGAGAAGAUUGGGAAAUCUGUUUCUCAUGGAGACCAUGUUGAGACAGCCUCUACCUCCAGAGAGCAACAGCAGGAAGAUCACAGAGCUAAGAGGUCUCACCACUGCCCACGUUGUAAGGAGAGUUUCUCAAUUCUAUCAAAGUUAAAAAUACACCUAAAAAUACACACAGGA
This is a long non-coding RNA of Oncorhynchus nerka (sockeye salmon), 468 nucleotides long. RefSeq lists it as uncharacterized. Lineage: Eukaryota; Metazoa; Chordata; Actinopteri; Salmoniformes; Salmonidae. The record is from RefSeq and is a predicted model, not a curated record. The transcript is spliced from 3 exons.